Canis lupus familiaris (dog) is the source of this 3143-nucleotide long non-coding RNA. RefSeq lists it as uncharacterized. Lineage: Eukaryota; Metazoa; Chordata; Mammalia; Carnivora; Canidae. The record is from RefSeq and is a predicted model, not a curated record. The transcript has 3 exons.
AUGUGAGACUUGACCCCAGGACCCAGAAUCAGCACCUGAGCCAAAGGCAGAUGCUCAACCACUGACCCACCAGGUGUUCCUUAAAAUUGUAUUUGUUUUUAGCCAGGUAAUGCUUGUACAUGGUACAGAAGUUCAAAAUUCACCACAAAGGUAUGCAGCAAGAGGUCUUCUCUCCCUGGAGGCAGCCACUGUCGCCUGGUCACCCAUCCAGAGAAGUUCUGUCCAGCGGUUCUCCAGCUGCUCUUCCCAAAGCUCCAGGCUUCCCACCAGCGCAUCAGAAGCCUGCAUGGGGGGAGGGGGGAACAGGCCACUCCCAACCCCCCCCCCCCACUUCAACUACAGUCACUUCCCUCCGCUCUGCUUCAGAGGGUGCCUCCUGAGCUUUGUGCCACGAGUCCCUCUGCUAAAAGCAGGUUUCAGCUCCUACCUUCACUUUACAGAUGAGGAAGUGGUCCCCUUUUCCAUCAGUUUUGUGACAGGAGGGUUUGGUGGGGGACACAAGGUAUAAUCCCUUAAGAUUCAGAAGAGGUCACAGUUCAGAAGACCGGAUGAGAAGUCUUGGCCCUCUGCUUUCUGAUUUUAACAACCCACCACAUGAGGUUAAGAAAAGCCUUUGAGAGCAAGGUAAAGAUAUUCUCUCACCAGCCUUGCUAACCCGUUGGCUCCUGGGGUGUGGAGCUUACCUUUUGCAUCUGCUCAUGGCUGAGACCCUGUCUUCCUCACCAAGCAGCACCCCCUCCCCCAGAAAAACUUCUUGGGCUUCCAGUAAAGGCCGCCCUUGCCGUACAUACACUUCUGAACGUGACUUCUGUGUCUGCCCUCCGUUGGGGUUCCCAAGCUCUUCCCUUGAAGCAGAGCACUCUGUGGCCCUCCUUGUGCCCAGAGCUGAGCAGUCCCGGCGCCUGCCUCCCAGCAGGGCAGUAUGCCUUUUCCUGUCCAAACAUGGCAAUGAAGCACUAUUAGCCAGAAUUACCUCAUAGAGGAAAUGAGGAUUUCACAUGCCUCUUCCUCCACAGCCUGCUGCUCUGUUUGUAGUGGUCCACAGGCCCGAAUUCAGUGGCAGCAAGAUGGGCCACAUCUAAUUUAAAGGGAUUUGCAUGCAGGCUGCAUUCCUCCUUUAUCUGGGGGGAGUGCUUUGUUAGGCGAGCUAGAAGCCACCCUUUGGUCACCCCCACAGGAGCACCUGUGCCCAGGUGAUGUCCUCGGCCAUUACCAAGAAUGUCAAUUUAGUGUCAACAGGAAGAUGAGACUCACUUUCCUAAAGGCAGAAACUUCUGGAUUAGUUUUUCUCACCCAACAGUAGUGAUAAGAGCAGAGCCACAUUUUUCAAUCUGCCUUCCUCGGUGCACAUGGCAAGUGUCUCAGUGGUGGGCCUCCAUUAUCUGGGCUGCAGAAAAGGCAAAUGCUCCUCCAGCCAUCUUUUUCUUGAUUAGGUGACACAUGCCCUUGGUGUCAACUUCAGAAGAUCCAUAUGGGCUUCCGGUGUGUGAAUCUCCCAGCUGCAUCUCCUGGCCCCCCAGUGCCUCUCCCCAGAAGCAACUACUACAAAACCACUGGAAUAGCCUUUCAAGGCUGUGUCUUCAAGUGAAUAAAAAUAUAUUUAAUACAAAUGGGAACCUAUCAUGUUCUCUAUCCUGCACCUGGCUUUUUGCUCUACACCUGCCAAAUCACCCAGUGGCCCCACUCCUUCCAUAGCUGAGCUUAUCAAUGGCAGGGCCACACAGAAUUUAGCUAAUCACAUUCAGGGACAUUUAGGGGUCUCCCAUUUUCAGCUACUACAAUGUGGCAGUGAACAUCCUUGGUCAUUUCACACAUGUAUGAAUUUAAAUUCACAAGCAGAAUUGCUAAGUCAGAGAGGAUGUGCAUUUUUCACUGGGACACGUGUUGCCACAUUGCCCACCCUGCAUCGACGGCAUCUACGGGUACCACCCUGCACCCUCUUCUGCAUGGCGGCAGCCCUCGUCUCUGCCUCUCUGAUGGGAACAGUGGCUGUCAUCUUAAUUGGGUUUUCUCUUAUGAGUGAAGUCAUUUGGUGUUUUAGAAGAAUGAAUUGAUGGCGUGUGUGCCAUAUUAGCUAAUACUCAUUGAGCUCAUUCUAUGAGCCUCAGUGCUUCUCUCAAAUUAGCUCAUCUAACCCUCAUUCUUAAGGGGCAGGUACUUUGUCACCAGCCCCCUUUCACAGAUGAGAGCAGAUGACAGGGCCUGUGGCUUACAAAGUGACAAAACUGAGCCUGGAACAUGAGCAAACUGGUUCCAGAUUCCAUGCUGCUGACCUCAGAGCUGCCCUGCCUCCAAACCAACUGGCAGAGAAGGGGCUCAAGUGAGAAUGGAGAGGCAGCGGUCCGCCACUGGGGAGCCCCUGUCUGUACAGAACGCAUGGGCAGCAGAAGCCUUGGGCGCAGUUGUACAGGAAGCCCCAGAGAAGCAGCCCAUCGGCAGCCUUGUGACGGAAGCCCACAGUGUCUGCACAGGGCCCCUGCUCCCUGAGCCUCUCACGCCUGCAUCUGAGCAGCUGGCUGCAAUUCUCGCCUGUGUGGGGGCUUUGACACCAGGCUUUCUGUCUGGGGAUGGGCGAUCACAUGAAUGUGGCCCUGGCUGCUCUACCAUGCGAAGAAGGAAGUCCAAGAAACAUCUGGAAAGUUAGCCUUUCUCUCUGCAGCAAUGGGGAGGAGGAAAUGCCUUCGAGCAGCUUGAUGAAUGAACGAACCUGUGAGGGCAUCGGUCCUUCCAUCAGCAAACUCCCGUGCCAAGGUCCUUUAGGAGCAAAGAGAAAAACAGCUGUCAGAGGCAGCCAUCCUGUUACUGAUUAAACAAGGCAAAUUCUAUCGGAACAGAAUCGGAGACACCCCUGGACACCUAAUUACACAGUCUGGAACGAGAAACAUGGGCAGGGGAAAGGGAAUAUGAACAAACAGUGCAGCGGCAGCACGGUGCCCCCCCCAGCGCCAGAAGCUGUCAUCUCCCCGAGGCCUCCAGACGGGAGCACAGGACUUACCUCCUGCUCCUCGGAUAAGGUGCCCGCUCCGGGAAGGGGCCCCCCAGCUGUGCUGACCCCCGCCUGCCCCCACCAGCCAGGGCACAGCGGCGUGUGGGCCAGAGCCCCUCUCAGGGCCACCUCUGACCCCGUGGGGAGCAGGUGUCUU